UACAAAUUAUGUCUUUUUUUUAACAAAAAAUCCUCACCAUGUUACACAGUAGCAGUGAAAAAAGAUUCUCAAGGCAACAUUUUGAAACCGAUUCAGAAGGCGUUUGCAGACUCACAUGAAGAUUAUUAUUAUUUAUUUUUUGGUAAAACAUCCUUUCAAGCAAAACGUAUCACGCUGCAGAGCUGUUGCUGGGGUAACACAUUCUAGAACUGUCUUUUUCAUGAAACUGUUACAGUGUUACAUUGAAACUACAGAAAUACACUGUAACCAUGGAAGAACAUUUUCAAGCCAACAUGUAAGACUGUGUGAUUCUAAGUUUACGAGAACACAUCAGGUUGUUAGAAGAUGUAAUUACACACUAAUCUGUGUAUCUGAGUACAACAUUCUUUUUUUUCUGUUCCACAAACUCAAACUUACUGACUCAUCCUUUAAUAAGUAUUUUAUAAUAUGACUCCACAAAACUUUUGAAUGAUUUAAAAAGUUUUGAGUUAAAUUUUUAACCUCACAGUCACAUCGUGUGAAAUAGUAAAGGUAGAGAUACAUUUUGGUAAAUAUGAGGUUUCGUUUGGCUGUUUUUAGAUCAAGCUUAAAUAAAACUGAGUGGUGGAGCAGAGGGUGAAGCAGGAGCCUCUUCUGUCUCCACAGAGACCAGCCACCUCAUGAAGCCUUCAUGAAGGGGCUGAGGCAUGAUGGGGGAUGGAGGCAGGAGUGAUGUAGGAGGGGGGCUCCUGUGGGCGUCGUGAAGCGGCCCUGGCAGGUCUUAAUGCUGCUGUCAGACGUCCCGGUCCAGCGAUGUGCUUUCCUCACGCUCCAUCACCUUUGAGAUUAUACGACUUUUAAAUGAGCCGCAGCCACGGGGAACGGCACCCGGGGAACGCCUGUCGCCCCGCCAACACGAGCCAUGAUUUGCCGUGCCAUUAAUCUCUGCGGGGAGAUCUCAGCCGAUUUGUCCUCACCGACAAAUGAAGCUGUAAAACUUUUCCUGCAUGUGACGCUGUUGCCGACGGGACCACAACGCCAUCGGCACACGCAUCAGGAGCCAAUCGGGACCCGAGAUCUGUGCAAAUGUCCGCGCACCAAGGGAAGAAAGAAGAGACAGCAUUUAGGUUUAGGUCUGAACACAGGACAGGCUUUAAAUCAAGCAGGCAGGAAAUAGCCUGUUGAUUACAGCUGGAGGUGGAGUCAGCUGACCACGCUACAGGAAACAGGCCUCUGAUGGUGAACCGAGCAGCUCAGAAACACACUUCAUAUUAAUGUUUUUAAUAAAACAGAGAAGAAACAUGGAAGUAAAUACUCUGUAAAUGAAACUGAAGCACAUCAACAGAACUCAGACUCCAACAUAUCCACGUAUCCAAACGCCCUCAGCCUCUCUGACUCUGAGCUGUCCCUCUGAUGGACUCGUUUCUGAUCCUGUCUGUCCCACCCACUGAACAUCUUCACGUCAGCCUCCAUCAUUUCCAAACCAUCACAGCAGGUAUCACUACCACCUUGUAAACCUUCCCUUUCACUCUUGCUGCUCUCCUUCUGUCACAAAUCACCCAACACUUGUCUCCACCUACUCCACCCCGCCAGCACUCUCACCUCUCUUUGGAUGUUUGACUCCAGGUAUUUAAACUCAUCCACCUUGACUAACUCUGCUCCUUUCCUCCUGUCCCACUCUCAUUCACACACAUGUAUUCUGUCUUGCUUCUGCUGUCUUUCAUUCCUCUUCUCUCCAGCUCAUUCCUCCACCUGUUCUCUACUCCCACUCAGUUUGUUGUUGGACUAAUUUUAGUUUUCCACAGAUUUCUAAAAGGUUUCACUGUUUUUUUUAUGACAGCUGUUCUGAUAAAUUUUAAGUGCUGUAUAUUUCAGAUAUGUCUCCAUGAUAAACGACAGAGCUUUAAAAGAAGCGGACACAAUAAACCUGAACGAGUCAUCAAAUUACUGAAUAUGUGAAAACUUUAACAGACCCGUUCGGCCUCGAGGAGCUCCGGGGGGACCGGGAGGAGCAUCUCGAGGGCCUGGCUUUGUUUUCUUUUCUCUCCGCCCUCGGCUGGCUGCUUUCAUGGCGGUCAUUAGGCGCCCAGCCAGCGGCGGUGAUGGUUGUCCAAACUGAGAAUCAGGAGCUGGAGAAGAGAAACGACACGGAGUCCAGCAGGGAGCCCGAGAGAGGAAAAGUUUUAAUGGAUGAAAGGAGAGAAGGGGGUCAGUCAGCUACUCUAACUGGUCUCCCAGGCCCUCCUUAAAGCUCCUCUCUCCAUCCUGCAGAGUACAGUAGCUUCUCUAAGCAAAGCUCGGAGCUCCCCGCUGGGUUUGGUGUUUGUUGCCUUUGGGGUGAUGAUGGCUUCAGAUGGUUGCUGGUUGGAGGGGGUUGGGUGGGAGGCUGGAGAGCUGUCACCUGGGAGUCAUGGCCUACAUCGGCUCUUAAAAGGAUCUGAAGCUUCUCUCUUUUCAGUCUUUUUCUCUUCCAGAAGCGAAUCCCCAGCUGCCCCGUUACACGCGAGUUUCUAAAUUUAAAGCCUCACUGUGGAGGAAAAAUAAAGAGACGCAGGGGGAAACUCUGAAAACACACAUGAACAAAAACCAAAGUUAUUUUACUCUGUGCGUCUACAAAUCCAAACAUGUUCAGACACAAUGGAGUGUCAGUCAUCUCAUUUCCUUCAUUUCGGGUCAAUUUUUACUUCUAACACAAAAAUCAGGCACCAGCCUCUAGAUAAUGAAUACUUUAUACAGCAGUAAGAUAAUUGUUCUCAACUUUACCUCACUGAAAAUUACUUUUGCCUUCAAACUUGUAGAAUUUAAGGAGUUUGGGAGUAAAUCAAAAAGUUUGAGUCAUUUAGAGACUAUGAGAUGUCACUGCUGCACAGUUUCACUUCUACAAACCUAAAAUUGCAACAUGCAGACAGGUUUGAAUCGUUUUCUGAGCAAAUGAGAGCGUGGGAGCCUUCAGAGAGUCCCGGCAGGUAAAAAGUCCUAACUUCAACACGAUGAGCAGCAGAAACAAACUGUCCAAUCCAGAGGGAGUGAAGAGGGUCCACAGCUUGAUAAGCAGAACUGAAGCCGAGGCCCUGGGACGCGAAGCUUAUAAUCAAUUUUUUAAAUGUCUCGAACAAGAAAAGGUGUAGGUUUGCUGCUCAGUGUGGAUCUCUGAAAGUUCACUUCUCAGAAAAACAUGGACGCCCAGAGAUCUUUUCACCAGUACACUGUCGUCUCCCAGGACUGAGAGGCUUCAGAUUUUUGUUAUGGAGAGGCGGGCUCUCCAUAAACACCUCUGAAUAUACCUGCCUGCAGAGAGUCUGCAGCUCUGAGCUGCUGAGUAGUUUUUUUUGAAAGAACUGAAAUGUGUAUAUACAGAUUAAACCCUUAAACACACACACAAAAACACACUGCAGCCUGUUUAAUUCAUUCACUUUUUUAAAAUCACACUCCAGCUCGUCCCUGGCCCUGGAUCACUUUUGUUAACUUAUUAUUGCAGAAAACAAAAAUCGCGGUGAUUUAGUCGUCAUUAAAAUGUGUUCAGAAUAUGUUAUUGGUAAUACUGGCCCUGUAUUUGGUAUCGGAUCAGUACCAGAGUUUGCAGUAUUGAACACCAGUAGCUUCCAGUGAGAUGCAUGCCCUCUCAUGGCCGGCUUACACUUCACUGUUUUUACUUUAUUAUCCCUGUGACGCGUUCAUGGUGCAAAGUUUUGUGACUCUUUCAGAGAUGGAGGAAGACGUAAGAACGAUGGGACAGAAAGAACAACAAUUUUAUACUGGAAAUAUAUUUUUUAAAUUAUGUCCUCAUUCAUUCUUGCAAAACAAAUAGAAAUGUUUUAAUUUAAUUUUAAUCAACUGUGAUGAAGUUUACUGUGAUGCAAUGUGCUGGACUGGUUACAUGAAGAGCAGCAGACAUCAUUUCAUAUUUAAAAUGUUUAAGAUGUUUCAUAGUGUGUUUACUGUCUCUAGAGGAUGGAAAUCAGUGCUUAGUGGCUAAAACCACAAAGUGCAACAGCACAGGUCAGCUAAACACGGCCUAUACACAAAGAUGGAUGGAAACAAAGUGAUUCUUUGUCCUCACGCCGCCCUGCUACACCCAAUCUUAGGGGUACCCCACCUGCCAAAUCCCACUUUAACCCCUGUUAAUGGCACCACCUUCACUUUGCAUGAAUAUUUAAUCCCCUGUAGAUAUUAACACAUUACCAUGACACAUAAUGCUCAAACCUUUGAAUUCUGCUGUGAUUCUUUUUAAUAAAUAUAUUUUAUACUGACUUCAAGUCAAGCUGUAGGCCCGUGUUUCUGAACUCUAGAGAUAUGCUGUCCUCUGGGCUGACAAUGGCCCACGAUGUAAACCGAGUUUGACACCCCUGAGUUAGAUGGAAGAAUGCUGAGGACACUGAUAGAAAAAGUGGAGGAAGAUCUAAACACUCAGCGUUUCACGUUUUUUUCUAUUCUUGGCUCUGUGUGAUGUCAUAGAGCAGAUAAUAAAGGCCACAGAAACCACACCCACCAACUGCUUAUUUUGCUGAUG
Molecule: long non-coding RNA, 4489 nt
Organism: Oreochromis niloticus (Nile tilapia)
Lineage: Eukaryota; Metazoa; Chordata; Actinopteri; Cichliformes; Cichlidae
Exons: 3
Source: RefSeq, a predicted model, not a curated record